AUUUGCCCAAGGACACAGGGCUAGUAAGUGGCAGAAGGCAGGGCUCCUGGUUCCUCUUACUCUGGAUCCUAAACUCAUAACCGUCUUGAAAAACCCAAAUGUACACAUUGAGACUGUAAGUGGGAUAGGAUCCUUCGAAUUACAAAAGGAUUCAUCAGAAUAUUCUCUAAGCUCCAAAAAUACCUUUAGCUUCUGUCCAUAAAAGCCAUAAUUUUAUUUUCUGGAGUUCUGUGUCCGCAUUUGAAGUGACACAUAUCUUGAAUCUAAUAUAUAGACUUUCGCUCUUUGGGGAGGGUCGCUCCUAAAACUUUCAUCAAAUCCGUUCAUUCUGUUCAUAGUUAACAUCCACCUUACUGUCUUAUCGGUUUUGAAUAAAUUUAGUGAGGAGCUUUGGGCCAGGUAAAUAUAAUUUAAGUAUGAAUUUUAUAAUUAUACAUGUGUAUAUGUUCACACAUAAUCAAAUCUAAUCCAAUGGAUAGCCCGAAAAAGUGAGAGUAUAGGGUUUUCAUGGUGGAGAAGGAGUUGGGGGCUUUCUUCUUGAAUCAGGCGUCAGCUUGAUUUAUAGAUGUUUUAUCUCAUUAACCUUAAUGUCACGGAACUAAUUAGUAACUUUGGAACCUGCAAAACACACUCAUUCCCAUAGCUCUUUAACUUCACCGUGUACCAGAUGAAACUGGACCCAGUUAUUCUGAAUCUUAGACAUCUUUUGAAAGGCGUACAGGAAAUGCAUAUCAAACUAGAUGUGGAUCCCGAUUUUUCCCUUUUGGCCGCACACCAUGUUUCAUCAAAACCAUCUGAAUCCUUCAAACCUCUUGCUUCACAGACAGAGAUAUGUUGCAAUUACCCCAGUUUGGGUAAAGUUGACCCAGGAACUUAGGGAGAGUCCCCAGGAUCUCACCGCCCGCCUUCUGCCUGCAGGCGAACAUCAGGGCAGCCAUGUUGGAACCCAGCCCUGUUCUGUUGGCUGCCGUCUUGAGGCUGGAGAGGGACCCUCAGGUACUAAUGGCCCUAUAGGCAUCCUUUUCCUUCUCUUUCCCUGUUCUCACUCCUGGGAUCAAGACCCCGAGGCACAGGUAGUUCCAGCCUUUCUUCCCUUCCAGCUUUCUAAGGGAGGAUUCUGAGCUGCUUGGCUCCCCUGCCCCCAUUUCUUACGGCUGAAUUAGAUGAUGGCUGUGAUGGAAGGAUGCUAGAAGUCAGACACUUAAUCUGCGUAAGAAAACAUGGGAAGCUGCUCUCUGGAGAGAGAAUGGGCUGGGUAUAGCUGUUGAGUGGGAAUUUGGGUGAGAAAAAUGGCUAUUUUAAGAAACGUCUUGGAGUUCCCAUUAUGGCUCAGUGGGUUGAGAACCCGACUAGUCUCUGUGAGGAUGUGGGUUGGAUCCCAGGCCUUGCUCAGUGGGUUAAGGGUCCAGUGUUGCCAAAGUGAGGUGUAGGUAGCAGAUGCAGCUUGGGUCUGGCAUUGCUGUGUCUGUGGUGUAGGCCGGCAGCUGCAGCUAUGAUUUGACUCUUAGCCUGGGAACUUCCAUAUCUACAGUGUAGCCCUAAAAAGGAAGAAAUGAAAAGAAACUUCUCAAAGAAUUACAGUAUUUUUAAGGCAUUUGCAGAUCAAUUUAUAUUUCUUUUGCAUAGAUACCAUGUGAAGAUGGAACUUCUUAUGGUAGAAAAGGGGCUCAGUUUUAUUCAAAUUACAUUUCAAAUAAUUCUCUGAGGAAAAAAAGUGAUUUGGGUAGAAAAACCCAAGUGCUGAUUUUAUAGUGGGCUUUCUGAAUUUGCAUGGUCUUGGAACCGGACUGUGAAGGGGGGGCCUGUCAUGAAAUCUUAUCAAGUGGGUGCCCUUGGACUUGUCGGUGAAGCUGAGGUUUCUUUUGGGGUGAUUUCAUGCAAAGAGCAAACUCCAGUGCUGGAGUAAGUUGACACCAAACUUUAAUCUCUUUCCUCACUUUAGUUUGAAAAUGGUCUAGAUUGCUAACAUAGAGGAGAUCAUUGUGCGGGCCCUUGCUCCUUGGGUGCCAGACUGAUGUUCUAAUGCCAUUUGAUAUGCCUCCCGGCUGAAUGACUCAGCCCUGGCCUCAAGGACCCUCCGCAGGCUCUCCCUCCCUCAGGGGUGCAGGUGUGUCCCCACCUCGCUCAGAGGCCAGGAAACUAACCACAAUCUCCUGGCUAGAGACGCAGGCUUCUGCCUUGGAGGCAAAACAGGGUGAAACACAGGCAGGCAGGAUCCCAAACCACAGAAGCUCAAGUGAGGUCAUCCUUGUGAACCUGACAACUCCCUGUCUCUCUCGGUCAACAAAAAGAAACAUAGACCCAUUCAAAAAUGGCUCUGAAAGACAGAGAAUGCGCAUGGCUAUGGCAACUUGCCACUGGAUGCUAUUCCAAAGCAACUGAGAAAGUUAAUUAGCCAUCCUUUCACAAGCCAAGAAAAGUGCAAUGAUACGUUCACACCACCUUAUAGCAGGACAGUUGAGUACAGGAGCUUAAAUCACUUUUCUGGCAGCCAGUGAGUACAACGUCUGAUGGCGUGUUCCCUUCUCAUAUGCACCUGGCAACUCGAGGCACCACGUGCUGGGCAGGAACCAGGCUUCCAGGAGAUGUGGCAGAGACGUUGGCAGGAUUGUCCCUCUGUGGGACAGCCUCUCUGAGACGGUUAGGAAAUAGGUGGAAGGUGAGGUUGAGGGAGGCGGGAAGUCAUGAUGGAAAAUGAUUAUGCCUUUGAAAGUAGUUAUUCAUGGAAACUUUUUAGCUUAAAUGUGGACCCCAGAGUUCCUGUAGUGGCUCAGUGGAAACGAAUCUGACUAGUAUCCAUGAGGGUUCGGGUUUGAUUCCUGGCCCCGCUCAGUGGGUUAAGGUUCAGGUGUUGCUGUGAGCUGUGGUAUAGGUUGCAGAUGCAGCUCAGUCUGGCCUUGCUGUGGCUGUGAGUUUUGACCCCUAGCCUGGAAACCUCCAUAUAUGGUGGGUAUGGCCCUAAAAAGCAAAAAAACAAAAACAAAUCAAAAGUGUACCCCAGUCCAAGGCGGAGGUAGAUAGAUGAGCCAUUGGGAAUGCAUGAUAUCUACUUACUCGGUUCACUUGCAGGAAUCAAGCAAAUGAAAUUGAUGACAAAAAUGGCCCUGCUUUGGGAGGCAUUCUCUCAUAUUCACAAUGUAUUUAAAUAAUCAUUAGGACAAAGGGCCUGGCAUUUCGAAGACUCUGUCAGAAAUAUGCAGCCCAAUUUGUCCCAGGGCAGGAUGAGAAUGGAUUUAUUUUGGUUGAAAUCCUAACUUCUAUUGUCAAGAUUAUGCAUAAAGUCUGGAUAAUGCUACACAAUU
Molecule: long non-coding RNA, 3302 nt
Filed under: Sus scrofa (pig)
Lineage: Eukaryota; Metazoa; Chordata; Mammalia; Artiodactyla; Suidae
Description: lncRNA (ENSSSCG00000052267.1)
Source: RNAcentral